UCAAUCUACGCUCGCAAAGAAUGGAAUAGAAUCAAAGAUCUAACAAGUAAAGAACACUAGAUUUCUUAACGAUGGUCUGAGAUUGCUCUCGUAAUCAGCAGAGUCUCAGGGAAGGAAGGCUCGUCCCAGAAUAUUGCACUACUAAAGCAAACGCGUGAAGGGCGAUUAUAGACAAGGAAAUACUACAUGUAAACCCAAAAUUGUGAACAGGUCACCGGAGCAUCAAGAGAUCGUGAAAUCACCGUUUCAUGCUUCGUCUUCUCCGUGACGAUUAACAGGAUUUCUGGCUAGGGCUUUUGGAAGUCAGAGUUUGUUUUCCGUCUUCCUUCAGAGGCAGGCUGUUACUUAUAUACUAAGUGGACAGUUCCCAAACAUCACACGUAUUCAUUUAUCUGCAAAAAAACACACAUAAACGGAACGAUCUAACAAUCUAACCAAGCCUAAUAACCCAUUUAGGUUAGAAUUGGUUGCAACCAGGAUUACCACCGUAUAUAGAUAGCCAUUGGAAGGAUUAAUCUACUUAUCAUAUAUGGUGCAAAAAAAAAGCAAAAUGCUUGGGGGAAGAAUUUCAACACAAUGUAAAGCUUUUUUAGAAGGUGGGAUCAUAUCCAUGGCUUCUGCAAGCCCUAGUGUGGAAAGAAUCAAUAAUGUUUUGAUAAAAAAAAGGCAAAAGUAGUACUAAUUCUCUCAAUGCCACGUAAAG
RNAcentral lists this long non-coding RNA (703 nucleotides) under Linum usitatissimum (flax). RNAcentral describes it as "long non-coding RNA (LUSI_LNC002464)". Lineage: Eukaryota; Viridiplantae; Streptophyta; Magnoliopsida; Malpighiales; Linaceae. The record is from RNAcentral.